AAAUUGAAGAGUUUGAUCAUGGCUCAGAUUGAACGCUGGCGGCAGGCCUAACACAUGCAAGUCGAGCGGUAGCACAGAGAGCUUGCUCUCGGGUGACGAGCGGCGGACGGGUGAGUAAUGUCUGGGAAACUGCCUGAUGGAGGGGAUAACUACUGGAAACGGUAGCUAAUACCGCAUAAUGUCGCAAGACCAAAGUGGGGGACCUUCGGGCCUCAUGCCAUCAGAUGUGCCCAGAUGGGAUUAGCUAGUAGGUGGGGUAACGGCUCACCUAGGCGACGAUCCCUAGCUGGUCUGAGAGGAUGACCAGCCACACUGGAACUGAGACACGGUCCAGACUCCUACGGGAGGCAGCAGUGGGGAAUAUUGCACAAUGGGCGCAAGCCUGAUGCAGCCAUGCCGCGUGUGUGAAGAAGGCCUUCGGGUUGUAAAGCACUUUCAGCGGGGAGGAAGGCGGUGAGGUUAAUAACCUCAUCGAUUGACGUUACCCGCAGAAGAAGCACCGGCUAACUCCGUGCCAGCAGCCGCGGUAAUACGGAGGGUGCAAGCGUUAAUCGGAAUUACUGGGCGUAAAGCGCACGCAGGCGGUCUGUCAAGUCGGAUGUGAAAUCCCCGGGCUCAACCUGGGAACUGCAUUCGAAACUGGCAGGCUAGAGUCUUGUAGAGGGGGUAGAAUUCCAGGUGUAGCGGUGAAAUGCGUAGAGAUCUGGAGGAAUACCGGUGGCGAAGGCGGCCCCCUGGACAAAGACUGACGCUCAGGUGCGAAAGCGUGGGGAGCAAACAGGAUUAGAUACCCUGGUAGUCCACGCCGUAAACGAUGUCGAUUUGGAGGUUGUGCCCUUGAGGCGUGGCUUCCGGAGCUAACGCGUUAAAUCGACCGCCUGGGGAGUACGGCCGCAAGGUUAAAACUCAAAUGAAUUGACGGGGGCCCGCACAAGCGGUGGAGCAUGUGGUUUAAUUCGAUGCAACGCGAAGAACCUUACCUGGUCUUGACAUCCACAGAACUUUCCAGAGAUGGAUUGGUGCCUUCGGGAACUGUGAGACAGGUGCUGCAUGGCUGUCGUCAGCUCGUGUUGUGAAAUGUUGGGUUAAGUCCCGCAACGAGCGCAACCCUUAUCCUUUGUUGCCAGCGGUUAGGCCGGGAACUCAAAGGAGACUGCCAGUGAUAAACUGGAGGAAGGUGGGGAUGACGUCAAGUCAUCAUGGCCCUUACGACCAGGGCUACACACGUGCUACAAUGGCAUAUACAAAGAGAAGCGACCUCGCGAGAGCAAGCGGACCUCAUAAAGUAUGUCGUAGUCCGGAUUGGAGUCUGCAACUCGACUCCAUGAAGUCGGAAUCGCUAGUAAUCGUAGAUCAGAAUGCUACGGUGAAUACGUUCCCGGGCCUUGUACACACCGCCCGUCACACCAUGGGAGUGGGUUGCAAAAGAAGUAGGUAGCUUAACCUUCGGGAGGGCGCUUACCACUUUGUGAUUCAUGACUGGGGUGAAGUCGUAACAAGGUAACCGUAGGGGAACCUGCGGUUGGAUCACCUCCUUACCUUAAAGAA
Molecule: ribosomal RNA, 1548 nt
Filed under: Klebsiella pneumoniae
Lineage: Bacteria; Pseudomonadati; Pseudomonadota; Gammaproteobacteria; Enterobacterales; Enterobacteriaceae
Description: bacterial SSU rRNA
Rfam family: Bacterial small subunit ribosomal RNA
Source: RNAcentral